Molecule: long non-coding RNA, 1409 nt
Filed under: Cairina moschata (Muscovy duck)
Lineage: Eukaryota; Metazoa; Chordata; Aves; Anseriformes; Anatidae
Description: domestica (muscovy Duck (domestic type)) lncRNA (ENSCMMG00000011289.1)
Source: RNAcentral
UUUUUUUAACCUAAAGCUGGUGGUGUUUAGCCAAAAGGGGCCAGUUUUUAACCAAAAGGAGGCAAAUUUUUAACUUAAAAAGGCGUUUUUUUUUUUAACCUAAAACUGGUGGUUUUUAGCCAAAAGGGGCCAGUUUUUAGCCAAAAGAGGCCGUUUUUUAGCCAAAAGGGGCGUAUUUUUAACCUAAAGGUGGAGUUUAUUUACCUAAAAGGGGCAUUUUUUAAUCUAAAGGGGCUGUGUUUUUUGUUUUUUUUUGUUUUUUUAACCUAAAGGAUCUUUUUUUUUUUUAGCCCAAAGGGGGGAGUUUUUAAGCAAAAGGGGGUCGUGUUUUUUUAACCUAAAGUGGGGGCGUUUUUAACCUAAAGCAGGUGGUUUUUAACCUAAAAGGGCUUUAACAAAAUGCACGUUUGGGGAGGGGCACCCUGUGCGAGGCGUGCUGUCCCUGACCCCCCCCCUUCUGUCCCUGACCCCCCCCUUCUGUCCCUGACCCCCCCCUUCUGUCCCUGACCCCCCCCUUCUGUCCCUGACCCCAUCUCUGUCCUGCAGAGCCUCUCGCCCCAGGAGCGGGCUGCCUACAAGGAGCACACCUCCAACGUGAGUCCUGGGGGGGGGUUCGGGGUGGGUUUGGGGGGGGCACAGCCACGUCCUGACCCCCCCUUGGGGCCGUGCGGGAGGUGCGCCGGGCUUGGGGAGCCCCCACGAGGGGCCGGGGGUGGGGUUUUCUCCGUGCUGGGGGGGCGCUGGGUUCACGCCCCGCUGCUCAAAAGGAUUUUCCUUGUCCCCCCCCCGGCAGAAACGCAAGAGCAUAGGGAAGAUCCGAGGCCCCAACCCCAAGAUGAAGCCCACCAUGCAGUCCAAGUCGGAGUCAGAGGACGACGAUGACGAGGAAGAGGAGGAGGAGGAUGAUGAUGAAGAUGAAGACGACGACGAUGACAACGGGGACUCGUCGGAGGAAGGCGGCGACUCCUCGGAGUCCAGCAGCGAGGAGGAGAGUGAGGACGGGGACGAGGUGAGGCUGCGGGGGGGGGGGGGACACACAGUUUUUUGGGGGGUCACGCUCGCUCGGCCCCCUCCCCUUCUGCGGGGACAGGGCUGCGGGGUGGGCGUCGGGGCGGGCAAAAAAAUGAAAUUAUAAAAUAAGGAAAAAUGAAAUGAAAUACGGAAAAUUGAAAUAAAAUAAGGAAAAAAUGAAAUAAGAAAAAAAUGAAAUGAAAUAAGGAAAAAAUGAAAUAAAAAAGGAAAAAUGAAAUAAAAAAGGAAAAAUGAAAUAAAAAAGGAAAAAUGAAAUAAAUAAUGAAAAAAAUAAAUAAAAAAAAGGAAAAAUGAAGUAAUGAAAAACUGAAAUAAAAAAAGGAAAAACUGAAAUAAAAAAAAGGAAAAAUGAAAUCCAAUCGCGGGGGGGGACCGGG